This 460-nucleotide ribosomal RNA is filed under the name uncultured bacterium. Its description in RNAcentral is "partial 16S ribosomal RNA". It matches the Rfam family "Bacterial small subunit ribosomal RNA", at positions 338 to 795 of the family's 1533-position model. The record is from RNAcentral.
CCUACGGGUGGCAGCAGUGAGGAAUAUUGGUCAAUGGGCGCUAGCCUGAACCAGCCAAGUAGCGUGAAGGAUGACUGCCCUAUGGGUUGUACACUUCUUUUAUAUGGGAAUAAAGUGCAGUAUGUAUACUGCUUUGCAUGUACCUUAUGAAUAAGGAUCGGCUAACUCCGUGCCAGCAGCCGCGGUAAUACGGAGGAUGCGAGCGUUAUCCGGAUUUAUUGGGUUUAAAGGGUGCGUAGAUGGGUUGUUAAGUCAGUUGUGAAAGUUUGCGGCUCAACCGUAAAAUUGCAAUUGAUACUGGCAGCCUUGAGUACAGUUGAGGUAGGCGGAAUUCGUGGUGUAGCGGUGAAAUGCUUAGAUAUCACGAAGAACUCCGAUUGCGAAGGCAGCUUACUAAACUGCCACUGACAUUGAUGCUCGAAAGUGUGGGUAUCAAACAGGAUUAGAUACCCUAGUAGUC